UAGGGAAUCUUCGGCAAUGGGGGCAACCCUGACCGAGCAACGCCGCGUGAGUGAAGAAGGUUUUCGGAUCGUAAAGCUCUGUUGUAAGAGAAGAACGUGUGUGAGAGUGGAAAGUUCACACAGUGACGGUAACUUACCAGAAAGGGACGGCUAACUACGUGCCAGCAGCCGCGGUAAUACGUAGGUCCCAAGCGUUGUCCGGAUUUAUUGGGCGUAAAGCGAGCGCAGGCGGUUUAAUAAGUCUGAAGUUAAAGGCAGUGGCUUAACCAUUGUUCGCUUUGGAAACUGUUAAACUUGAGUGCAGAAGGGGAGAGUGGAAUUCCAUGUGUAGCGGUGAAAUGCGUAGAUAUAUGGAGGAACACCGGUGGCGAAAGCGGCUCUCUGGUCUGUAACUGACGCUGAGGCUCGAAAGCGUGGGGAGCAAACAGG
RNAcentral lists this ribosomal RNA (429 nucleotides) under bacterium. RNAcentral's name for it is "partial 16S ribosomal RNA". It matches the Rfam family "Bacterial small subunit ribosomal RNA", at positions 355 to 776 of the family's 1533-position model. The record is from RNAcentral.